CAGGUUCCUGCUUAUCAUGUCACACUGUUGGGAAAACAACCUGUGAGUGAAAUUGUAGCAUUCAUCUAGUUGCAUGGCGUCAGCGGAAAAGUAUCAGUCCUAACUCCAAGACCACACUUCUCCUUUCCCAUGUUCAUUAACCCUAGAACACUGUUGCUGGGUGAUUUUCACCGACCAAACAUGUUCAAGUGAUUUUCAUUAUGUUGUGUUUGUCCGAGUAUCAUGGGUCUCUGGGUAGCUUCAGCAUUGCCUUUGACAUCUUUGAAGGCAUAUUUGUUUUCCUGAUCCAGAACCUGUUUUUUCCUACAGGCACGUGUUCGGGUGAUUUUCACCCGGCAAUAGUGAUAGAGGGUAAGUAGGUUUGGGUGGAUUUGAUAGCUGCAUGUAGAUGAAUAAGGUCAAUAAUAGUGGUCCUGAAAUUUGCAUGCUAUCUUUAUUUAGCGCAGUGGUUAUGAAUAACUAUCACAAAGUAGUGAUUUCCAAGGGAAUUCAUAUGGUGAUAAGAAAUAUUUUAGUCAACUGGUCAUUCAGCUGGUCACUCAAAAUCUGCCAUAUUUUGGUUCUCUCUCCUGCAGCUGUUAUUGUGCCAAGGACCCUGAGUCUUCACCAGGGAAGACUCACAUGCACAAGGAAUAAGUGGGAAAAAAAACUAAGUUUACAUUUUCUAAAAUUUUUAAUUUUUAGGAUUUUUUUGUUCAUGAAUGCCUAAUUUCAGUUAUCUUGUUGCAUUAUUAUAUGGUCCCUUAAUGGCACUUUUUCCCCUCCCUUUGGACAUUGCACAGUUAAAAAAAAAAAAGAAAACUACUUUAAUUUGUCAUGUGUUUUCCUAUUUUGAUAUAUUUUGAUGACAAGUACUUUUUCUUGGGUAUAUUAAUUUGGGUAAAAAUCACCCAGUGAUAGUGAUGGUGUUACUAAUUUUAGUGAUAGUGUUCUAGGGUUAAAAAUAAAUAGAUGUAACCCUGCAAGCAUUCACACCAAGUGAUUUUCAGUAGAUGAGGAUUCACAUAUGUAUAUAAUGAUAAAAUACACAAGUGAUAGCAUACACAUACAAUUUUUUUUCAACACAUUAGGAAGAUCCUGUGAGGCUCUUGUUGCUCCCAUUAUAUUGAGUAAGCCAUUAAAGUUGAAGUAAUUACUGUAAUUAUCCCUAACCAUUAUGUGCAUGUUACCCUGGAACCAGAGUUGUACAGAUUCUUGUAGCAGGUAAAUAUUGAG
This is a non-coding RNA of Xyrichtys novacula (pearly razorfish), 1215 nucleotides long. The record is from the annotation of a GenBank genome assembly. NCBI's taxonomy places the organism in Eukaryota, Metazoa, Chordata, Actinopteri, Labriformes, Labridae.